GACGAACGCUGGCGGCGUGCUUAACACAUGCAAGUCGAACGGAGAACCUCUUCGGAGGGGGUCAGUUGCAAACGGGUGAGUAACACUUGGGCAACCUUCCCCCGCCUCUGAGAUAACUCUAACAAAUGGGGACUGAUACCAGUAGUGCACCGCUUCCCGCACGGCAUGGGGGGGGAAGGGUUGGCGGUUGGGGAUGGGCUCGCGGCCUAUCAGCUUGUUGGUGGGGUAGUGGCCUACCAAGGCUACGACGGGUAGCCGGCCUGAGAGGGUGACCGGCCACACUGGGACUGAGAUACGGCCCAGACUCCUACGGGAGGCAGCAGUGGGGAAUAUUGCACAAUGGGCGGAAGCCUGAUGCAGCGACGCCGCGUGGGGGAUGACGGCCUUCGGGUUGUAAACCUCUUUCAGCAGGGACGAAGCGUAAGUGACGGUAACUGGAGAAGAAGCACCGGCUAACUACGUG
This 463-nucleotide ribosomal RNA is filed under the name uncultured bacterium. RNAcentral's name for it is "partial 16S ribosomal RNA". It matches the Rfam family "Bacterial small subunit ribosomal RNA", at positions 28 to 507 of the family's 1533-position model. The record is from RNAcentral.